RNAcentral lists this ribosomal RNA (1331 nucleotides) under Lactiplantibacillus plantarum. RNAcentral's name for it is "bacterial SSU rRNA". It matches the Rfam family "Bacterial small subunit ribosomal RNA", at positions 75 to 1393 of the family's 1533-position model. The record is from RNAcentral. Lineage: Bacteria; Bacillati; Bacillota; Bacilli; Lactobacillales; Lactobacillaceae.
UGAUUUACAUUUGAAGUGAGUGGCGAACUGGUGAGUAACACCGUGGGAAACCUGCCCAGAAGCGGGGGAUAACACCUGGAAACAGAUGCUAAUACCGCAUAACAACUUGGACCGCAUGGUCCGAGNUUGAAAGAUGGCUUCGGCUAUCACUUUUGGAUGGUCCCGCGGNGUAUUAGCUAGAUGGUGGGGUAACGGCUCACCAUGGCAAUGAUACGUAGCCGACCUGAGAGGGUAAUCGGCCACAUUGGGACUGAGACACGGCCCAAACUCNUACGGGAGGCAGCAGUAGGGAAUCUUCCACAAUGGACGAAAGUCUGAUGGAGCAACGCCGCNUGAGUGAAGAAGGGUUUCGGCUCGUAAAACUCUGUUGUUAAAGAAGAACAUAUCUGAGAGUAACUGUUCAGGUAUUGACGGUAUUUAACCAGAAAGCCACGGCUAACUACGUGCCAGCAGCCGCGGUAAUACGUAGGUGGCAAGCGUUGUCCGGAUUUAUUGGGCGUAAAGCGAGCGCAGGCGGUUUUUUAAGUCUGAUGUGAAAGCCUUCGGCUCAACCGAAGAAGUGCAUCGGAAACUGGGAAACUUGAGUGCAGAAGAGGACAGUGGAACUCCAUGUGUAGCGGUGAAAUGCGUAGAUAUAUGGAAGAACACCAGUGGCGAAGGCGGCUGUCUGGUCUGUAACUGACGCUGAGGCUCGAAAGUAUGGGUAGCAAACAGGAUUAGAUACCCUGGUAGUCCAUACCGUANACGAUGAAUGCUAAGUGUUGGAGGGUUUCCGCCCUUCAGUGCUGCAGCUAACGCAUUAAGCAUUCCGCCUGGGGAGUACGGCCGCAAGGCUGAAACUCAAAGGAAUUGACGGGGGCCCGCACAAGCGGUGGAGCAUGUGGUUUAAUUCGAAGCUACNCGAAGAACCUUACCAGGUCUUGACAUACUAUGCAAAUCUAAGAGAUUAGACGUUCCCUUCGGGGACAUGGAUACAGGUGGUGCAUGGUUGUCGUCAGCUCGUGUCGUGAGAUGUUGGGUUAAGUCCCGCAACGAGCGCAACCCUUAUUAUCAGUUNCCAGCAUUAAGUUGGGCACUCUGGUGAGACUGCCGGUGACAAACCGGAGGAAGGUGGGGAUGACGUCAAAUCAUCAUGCCCCUUAUGACCUGGGCUACACACGUGCUACAAUGGAUGGUACAACGAGUUGCGAACUCGCGAGAGUAAGCUAAUCUCUUAAAGCCAUUCUCAGUUCGGAUUGUAGGCUGCAACUCGCCUACAUGAAGUCGGAAUCNCUAGUAAUCGCGGAUCAGCAUGCCGCGGUGAAUACGUUCCCGGGCCUUGUACACACCGC